Molecule: ribosomal RNA, 277 nt
Filed under: uncultured prokaryote
Description: partial 16S ribosomal RNA
Rfam family: Bacterial small subunit ribosomal RNA
Source: RNAcentral
UACGGAGGAUCCGAGCGUUAUCCGGAUUUAUUGGGUUUAAAGGGCGUGUAGGCGGGUUUGCAAGUCGGAUGUGAAAGAUCAAGGCUCAACCUUGACAGGCCAUUCGAAACUGUGGGACUUGAGUGUCAGAGGGGAAAGUGGAAUUCCUAGUGGAGCGGUAAAAUGCGCAGAUAUUAGGAGGAACACCGGUGGCGAAGGCGACUUUCUGGAUGACAACUGACGCUGAGGCGCGAAAGCGUGGGAAGCAAACAGGAUUAGAUACCCGGGUAGUCCCUGA